MicroRNA precursor from Mesocricetus auratus (golden hamster), 85 nucleotides. The record is from Ensembl. Lineage: Eukaryota; Metazoa; Chordata; Mammalia; Rodentia; Cricetidae.
GUAGAGGAGAUGGCGCAGGGGACACAAGGUGAGCCUUGGGGGUCCUUGGACCCUUGGACAUGUGUCCUCUUCUCCCUCCUCCCAG